UACGUGAGGGGCGAACGUUGUUCGGUGUCACUGGGCUUAAAGGGUGCGUAGGUGGUUGUGUAAGUAACGUGUGAAAUCCCUCGGCUUGCCCGGGGAAUUGCAUGUUAUACUGCAUGACUUGAGGACCAAAGGGGAAAAGGGAACUCCAGGUGUAGCGGUGAAAUGCGCAGAUAUCAGGAGGAACACCGAUGGCGAAGGCAGCUCGCUGGGACGGUACUGACGCUGAGGCGCGAAAGCGUGGGGAGCAAACAGG
This 253-nucleotide ribosomal RNA is filed under the name uncultured bacterium. RNAcentral's name for it is "partial 16S ribosomal RNA". It matches the Rfam family "Bacterial small subunit ribosomal RNA", at positions 524 to 776 of the family's 1533-position model. The record is from RNAcentral.